UGCAACGAUGAAGAACGCAGCGAAAUGCGAUACGUAGUGUGAAUUGCAGAAUUCCGCGAAUCAUCGAGUCUUUGAACGCAAGUUGCGCCCGAGGCUUGCCCUCGGACAUCUCUGCCAGAGCGUCACCGCGAACAC
RNAcentral lists this ribosomal RNA (135 nucleotides) under Macromitrium cuspidatum. RNAcentral describes it as "partial 5.8S ribosomal RNA". It matches the Rfam family "5.8S ribosomal RNA", at positions 29 to 154 of the family's 154-position model. Rfam says of the family: 5.8S ribosomal RNA (5.8S rRNA) is a component of the large subunit of the eukaryotic ribosome. It is transcribed by RNA polymerase I as part of the 45S precursor that also contains 18S and 28S rRNA. Lineage: Eukaryota; Viridiplantae; Streptophyta; Bryopsida; Orthotrichales; Orthotrichaceae. The record is from RNAcentral.